AGACCCUACCUUUAAAGAGUCAGAAGACCUUGAACUACUGGGCAUCUGACAAGACAUCUAGGUGGACACCCCCCGACGGCAGCAUGCCCCAAUGCGCGUGGACUGCGAGGGCCCGUUCAUCGCUGCUUGCAGCUUUAAUUAUUAUUAAGAUGGCCAUCUACAUGCUGUCCUUCGUAUCGCCACGACGGAGAUGGAGCCGGACAUCAGAGGAAUCAUGGCCAACCGAAAACAGCACCACAAAUCCCAUGCCAAUAAAAAAAGGUUUUCCUGUGGUGCUUUGGUAGCUGGAAUUGCUCCUGAAUAAGGUCCAUGCUGAUAAGACAGGAAGCAAGGCACCCUGAGACUGACUGUUUGUUCUAAAUAAGUUUUUACAUAUAUUCUGAAAUGGACUGCACACAGGACUGUUAUAUCCCAAAUUUGACUGUAGAGGGCAGAAAACCCCAUGGAUUUUGUGUGCAUUACAAUGUUUUCUCAAGGUUUUCUCAAGUUUUGCCAGGUUUAGCCUCAUUUAUUAAUUAAAAUGUGCUUAUUGCACAUUACUGGAUGCAGACCAAUAAAUGUAAAUUGUAGAGAUGCAACCUGGUCAUUAAAAUGAUUAAAAAUGGGAU
Epinephelus moara (kelp grouper) is the source of this 608-nucleotide long non-coding RNA. RefSeq lists it as uncharacterized. The record is from RefSeq and is a predicted model, not a curated record. The transcript is spliced from 3 exons. NCBI's taxonomy places the organism in Eukaryota, Metazoa, Chordata, Actinopteri, Perciformes, Serranidae.